Molecule: ribosomal RNA, 378 nt
Filed under: uncultured eukaryote
Lineage: Eukaryota
Description: partial 18S ribosomal RNA
Rfam family: Eukaryotic small subunit ribosomal RNA
Source: RNAcentral
CAAUAGCGUAUAUUUAAGUUGUUGCAGUUAAAAAGCUCGUAGUUGGAUUUCGGGUGGGACGCAGCGGUCUCGCAUUGCGUUUGUACUGCUGCAGCCCUCCUUCUUGCCGGGGGCGGCCUGUCGGACUUCACUGUCUGCGGGUCAGAAUCGGCGAUGUUACUUUGAGUAAAUUAGAGUGUUCAAAGCAAGCUUACGCUCUGAAUAUAAUAGCAUGGGAUAACACGACAGGACUCUGGCCUAUCGUGUUGGUCUGUAGGACCGGAGUAAUGAUUAAGAGGAACAGUCGGGGGCAUUCGUAUUCCAUUGUCAGAGGUGAAAUUCUUAGAUUUAUGGAAGACGAACAUCUGCGAAAGCAUUUGCCAAGGAUGUUUUCAUUGA